RNAcentral lists this ribosomal RNA (509 nucleotides) under uncultured bacterium. Its description in RNAcentral is "bacterial SSU rRNA". It matches the Rfam family "Bacterial small subunit ribosomal RNA", at positions 903 to 1397 of the family's 1533-position model. The record is from RNAcentral.
AAAGGAAUUGACGGGGGCCCGCACAAGCGGUGGAGCAUGUGGUUUAAUUCGAUGCUACGCGAAGUACCUUACCAGGGUUUGACAUGCUGGUAGUAGGAGCCCGAAAGGGUAACGAUCCUAGUAGGCGACUAUUAGGGAGCCAGCACAGGUGCUGCAUGGCUGUCGUCAGCUCGUGUCGUGAGAUGUUGGGUUAAGUCCCGCAACGAGCGCAACCCUCAUUCCUAGUUACCAACAGGUAAAGCUGGGGACUCUAGGGAAACUGCCAGGGAUAACCUGGAGGAAGGGGGGGAUGACGUCAAGUCCGCAUGGCCCUUAUGCCCUGGGCGACACACGUGCUACAAUGGGUGGUACAGAGGGAAGCGAACCCGAGAGGGGGAGCAAAUCUCAGAAAGCCAUCCUCAGUUCGGAUUGCAGGCUGAAACCCGCCUGCAUGAAGCCGGAAUCGCUAGUAACCGUGGGUCAGCCAUACCACGGUGAAUACGUUCCCGGGCCUUGUACACACCGCCCGU